CCGAGUUGUAAUUUGUAGAAGAUGCUUCGAGGGUGGUGCCGGUCUAAGUUCCUUGGAACAGGACGUCAUAGAGGGUGAGAAUCCCGUAUGUGACUGGUUACCUUCGCUCAUGUGAAGCUCUUUCGAC
RNAcentral lists this ribosomal RNA (127 nucleotides) under Moellerodiscus iodotingens. RNAcentral's name for it is "partial large subunit ribosomal RNA". It matches the Rfam family "Eukaryotic large subunit ribosomal RNA", at positions 138 to 258 of the family's 3401-position model. The record is from RNAcentral. Lineage: Eukaryota; Fungi; Ascomycota; Leotiomycetes; Helotiales; Sclerotiniaceae.